RNAcentral lists this ribosomal RNA (522 nucleotides) under uncultured bacterium. Its description in RNAcentral is "partial 16S ribosomal RNA". It matches the Rfam family "Bacterial small subunit ribosomal RNA", at positions 28 to 523 of the family's 1533-position model. The record is from RNAcentral.
GACGAACGCUGGCGGCGUGCCUAAUACAUGCAAGUCGAACGCAAAACUUUCACCGAAUGCUUGCAUUCACGAAAGUUUUGAGUGGCGAACGGGUGAGUAACACGUGGGUAACCUGCCCAGAAGAGGGGGAUAACACUUGGAAACAGGUGCUAGUACCGCAUAAUAACAAAAACCGCAUGGUUUUUGUUUGAAAGAUGGUUUUGCUAUCACUUCUGGAUGGACCCGCGGCGUAUUGGCUAGUUGGUAAGGUAAAGGCUUACCAAGGCAAUGAUACGUAGCCGAACUGAGAGGUUGAUCGGCCACAUUGGGACUGAGACACGGCCCAAACUCCUACGGGAGGCAGCAGUAGGGAAUCUUCCACAAUGGGCGCAAGCCUGAUGGAGCAACACCGCGUGAGUGAAGAAGGGUUUCGGCUCGUAAAACUCUGUUGUUAAAGAAGAACGUAUCUAAGAGUAACUGCUUAGGUAGUGACGGUAUUUAACCAGAAAGCCACGGCUAACUACGUGCCAGCCGCCGCCGUAA